Long non-coding RNA from Quercus lobata, 1391 nucleotides. RefSeq lists it as uncharacterized. The transcript has 5 exons. The record is from RefSeq and is a predicted model, not a curated record. Lineage: Eukaryota; Viridiplantae; Streptophyta; Magnoliopsida; Fagales; Fagaceae.
AGUCAAAAGAGCCGCACGUUGUAUCGUUUCAAUAAUCUUAAAAUUUUAACUUUUAUUUCUACUACACCGUUUGAAUGCAUCUCACUAUAAAUAACAAAGAUAAGACUCAAAACCAAACGUUAGGCAAAAAAAAGCAUCCGCUGUUUCCAUUCGUUAAACACAAACGGCCAAAAGAAAAUCCCUUCCUUGCCGAUCUGCUUUGUAGUUUGCCCCAUGUUCUGUUUCUUCUCUGCAACAAUGUGCAAACUUGCCCACUUAGAUUUCUGCCCAUAUACGGAGAAAUUAUUGUUCAGAGAACGCGACCGAUUGGAAUUUUUCUGGUAGAAGAGGAAGAAUAAGCGUUAGACUGUUAACGCACCAUGGAUUGAGAGAGGGGUACCACCACAAGCCUCCACUCCACCCACUAUCAGACUACCGGAAUCGCUACUGGGAUACGGAGGUAGAAGAACCAAGCAGAGUUUGUAGGCGCCAAGAGAAAGAAGAAAUAUUUAAGGCCGGCUAUUGUCCGUUCCCUCGCCAUACUUGGGCCACCGGAACCGCAAGCAAGAAAAAACUAUGGACCAUCAACACUCUUAGGCCAUAUAUCUGCCACCUAGAUCGUCGGAACCGGAACUGAAACCGGUGGGUUCGUGCUCUGUCCCUAUCUCCUCUCUGUGGCAUCUGCUGUUUGUGUUUGUGCUCUUCCCCCAUCUCCUCUCUGCAACAUAUACGGAAGCGGCUUAGGACAAGUGUAUGUUAGGCAACAUCAACAAUAACAGCUAUGGCAGCAACUCAACUUCAGCAGCAACAUCACAGAAUGAGACUGAUUUUCAGGAUUUAUGAUGGCUGAACCAAUGCUCAUGAUUGGUGGCAAUAAUGCUCAACUUAAGUUGCUGCAUAACUCAUGUUGGUGCUGCUGCUGGAGGCUUAAGUAGCUGCAUAAUUGCUGGUGGUGUUGUUGCUUAAAGUCAAAUUCUUUUUUUAGACACUAUAUGCUUAAAUAUACUACAUUAUUUAAGUUUGAAUGUAAGCAGUGGAAUUAUGAUAACUAAGUUUAUGUAGGAUGCAAAGUUCAUAACUAAUCAAACUAUUCCAACGUUUACUAGGUAUAAAAGGAAUUGCAUUUUCUUCAAUGAUCAAAAUGAAACUCAUGUUUUCAACUUGCAAGAUAGAAGCUUUGGAGAUUUACAGAAUAUCCAUCCAUCCUGGCUUCUCUCAAAUUUGCUUUAGGCCUAUGUAAGAUAGUACACUUACAUUAACUUUCUUUUUGGGGACCUGAAUUUGAAGCAAAGAAAUAGAUAGAGAAUAUGUAAUGCAACUAUUAGAGAGAAAAGGGUAAGAGAUAUAUUGUUUUCUACUAGAGAUGAUUGCUAGAGAUUAAUAAGUGUUAGAGAUAUUGAAAUUGAAUGUUA